RNAcentral lists this ribosomal RNA (520 nucleotides) under uncultured Glomus. Its description in RNAcentral is "SSU rRNA". It matches the Rfam family "Eukaryotic small subunit ribosomal RNA", at positions 569 to 1093 of the family's 1831-position model. The record is from RNAcentral. Lineage: Eukaryota; Fungi; Glomeromycota; Glomeromycetes; Glomerales; Glomeraceae.
AGCAGCCGCGGUAAUUUCAGCUCCAAUAGCGUAUAUUAAAGUUGUUGCAGUUAAAAAGCUCGUAGUUGAAUUUCGAGACCGGUUUACUGGUCGUGCUUUUGUACGUACUGGUAUAAUCGGUUUCUCUUUUCUGACGAACUAUAAUGCCAUUAAUUUGGUGUUAUAGGGAAUCAGGACUGUUACUUUGAAAAAAUUAGAGUGUUUAAAGCAGGCUCACGCUUGAAUACAUUAGCAUGGAAUAACGAAAUAGGACGUUUGAUUUUAUUUUGUUGGUUUCUAGGAUCGACGUAAUGAUUAAUAGGGAUAGUUGGGGGCAUUAGUAUUCAAUUGUCAGAGGUGAAAUUCUUGGAUUUAUUGAAGACUAACUACUGCGAAAGCAUUUGCCAAGGAUGUUUUCAUUAAUCAAGAACGAAAGUUAGGGGAUCGAAGACGAUCAGAUACCGUCGUAGUCUUAACCAUAAACUAUGCCGACUAGGGAUCGGAUGAUGUUAAUAUUAAUGACUCAUCCGGCACCUUACGG